Molecule: ribosomal RNA, 402 nt
Filed under: uncultured bacterium
Lineage: Bacteria
Description: partial 16S ribosomal RNA
Rfam family: Bacterial small subunit ribosomal RNA
Source: RNAcentral
AUUGAACGCUGGCGGGAGGCCUAACACAUGCAAGUCGAACGAGUGGCGGACGGGUGAGUAAUGUAUCGGAAUGUGCCCGAUAGCGGGGGAUAACUACUGGAAAGGGUGGCUAAUACCGCAUACUAUUGAUGAGCCGAUAUUGGAUUAGCUAGUAGGUGGGGUAAAGGCUCACCUAGGCGACGAUCGGUAGCGGUUUGAGAGGAUGAUCAGCCACAUGGGACUGAGACACGGCCCAGACUCCUACGGGAGGCAGCAGUGGGGAAUAUUGGACAAUGGGGGAAACCCUGAGCCAGCCAUGCCGCGUGAAUGAAGAAGGCCUUCGGGUUGUAAAGUACUUUUGGUAGCGAAGCGGUAUCUACAGAAGAAGCACCGGCUAACUACGUGCCAGCAGCCCGGUAAUUC